This 285-nucleotide ribosomal RNA is filed under the name Triticum aestivum (bread wheat). RNAcentral's name for it is "partial small subunit ribosomal RNA". The record is from RNAcentral. Lineage: Eukaryota; Viridiplantae; Streptophyta; Magnoliopsida; Poales; Poaceae.
AUGGCCGCCGUCUCCACCCACGGCCGUGCCAACAAGACAGUAAUAUAUUGGGAUAUUUGUGGAGGAGAUUAUAUUGCUUCUUCUUAUAUUGGAACAAUUGAGAGGAGCAAGUUGUUGAGAAUUCUUUCUUACACACUUCACACUUUUCAGGGAAACAAAGACUUAAGUGAUGUUACUCAUGUUAUAGUAGAUGAAGUACAUGAACGCACUAUUUUGAGCAACUUUUUGCUGAUUGUUCUUAAGAGUCUUGUUGAAAACGCUCUAAUCAACCAGGAAGAAAGCUGA